GACGAACGCUGGCGGCGUGCUUACACAUGCAAGUCGCACGGAAAGGCCCCCAUCUUGGUGGGGGUGCUCGAGUGGCGAAAGGGGGAGUAACACGUGGGGGAUCUGCCCUGUACUUCGGGAUAAGCUUGGGAAAAUGGGUCUAAUACCGGAUAGGACCCUGGUUUAGGGUUCCAUGGGGGAAAGAUUAUUGUUUUGGUGCAGGAUGAGCUCGCGGCCUAUCAGCUUGUUGGUGGGGUAAUGGCCUACCAAGGCGUCGACGGGUAGCCGGCCUGAGAGGGUGGACGGCCACAUUGGGACUGAGAUACGGCCCAGACUCCUACGGGAGGCAGCAGUGGGGAAUAUUGCACAAUGGGCGCAAGCCUGAUGCAGCGACGCCGCGUGGGGGAUGACGGCCUUCGGGUUGUAAACUCCUUUCGUUAGGGACGAAGCCACGCUUUUUGGGUGUGGUGACGGUACCUUUGUUAAGAAGCACCGGCUAACUACGUG
Molecule: ribosomal RNA, 486 nt
Filed under: uncultured bacterium
Lineage: Bacteria
Description: partial 16S ribosomal RNA
Rfam family: Bacterial small subunit ribosomal RNA
Source: RNAcentral